Molecule: ribosomal RNA, 106 nt
Filed under: uncultured bacterium
Lineage: Bacteria
Description: partial 16S ribosomal RNA
Rfam family: Bacterial small subunit ribosomal RNA
Source: RNAcentral
UACGUUCCCGGACCUUGCACACACCGCUCGUCAAGCCAUGGAAGCUGGGUGUACCUAAAGUCGGUAACCGCAAGGAGCUGCCUAGGGUAAAACUAGUAACUGGGCU